CACUCCUGCGGGAGGCAGCAGUGGGGAAUCUUGCGCAAUGGGCGAAAGCCUGACGCAGCCAUGCCGCGUGAAUGAUGAAGGUCUUAGGAUUGUAAAAUUCUUUCACCGGGGACGAUAAUGACGGUACCCGGAGAAGAAGCCCCGGCUAACUUCGUGCCAGCAGCCGCGGUAAUACGAAGGGGGCUAGCGUUGCUCGGAAUUACUGGGCGUAAAGGGAGCGUAGGCGGACAUUUAAGUCAGGGGUGAAAUCCCGGGGCUCAACCUCGGAAUUGCCUUUGAUACUGGGUGUCUUGAGUAUGAGAGAGGUGUGUGGAACUCCGAGUGUAGAGGUGAAAUUCGUAGAUAUUCGGAAGAACACCAGUGGCGAAGGCGACACACUGGCUCAUUACUGACGCUGAGGCUCGAAAGCGUGGGGAGCAAACAGGAUUAGAAACCCUAGUAGUCCCAUG
This 449-nucleotide ribosomal RNA is filed under the name uncultured organism. RNAcentral's name for it is "partial 16S ribosomal RNA". It matches the Rfam family "Bacterial small subunit ribosomal RNA", at positions 334 to 799 of the family's 1533-position model. The record is from RNAcentral.